AGAGACUAAUAUUUUAUUCUCAACAUUCGAGCAUAUGCUGCUGAACCUAUAGCUUUUAAGAAACUUUGCUAUUAAAUGUGAUUUUUCAUAUAUUUUGCUAAUUUCCAUUGGUUGCUGGACUCUGGUAUUUUCUUUUUCCAUCGUCUAAAAUCGUCUAAAAAAUGCAGACGCAAAUUUCCCUGUCUUGUUGCGUGGCAUUCGGCAGAGAAGGAUGCGUGCCCACUACAGGUUUUAUUUCUGCCCGACUCAUCCGUCCGUUGCAGCCUGAUAAAAAUUUAAAUCUCCUGUCUUAUUAUUAUGUGCAGCAGCAAGAAAAGAGCAAACAUUCUUCACGAGACAUCCACGAACCUAUCGACAAUGUACACAGGGGUUUUUAUUGAGGUCCAGAUGAAUAGAGAAUGUUAGAUCCCUCUUCAAUGUCCUUUUCAUUUUAUCGAGGUCCAGAUGUAAAGAGAACGACAGAUCCCUCUUCAUUGUCCUUUUGUUUUUAUUGAAGUCUAGAUAUAUAGAGAAUGACAGACCCCUCUUCUUUGUCCUUUUCUAACCAUGUUUCUGUUGAUGGGUUAUCAGAGGUAUGACUUUUGUAUUUCUAUAUAGAAUGCUUUGCACAUA
Cryptomeria japonica (Japanese cedar) is the source of this 612-nucleotide long non-coding RNA. RefSeq lists it as uncharacterized. The transcript is spliced from 2 exons. The record is from RefSeq and is a predicted model, not a curated record. Lineage: Eukaryota; Viridiplantae; Streptophyta; Pinopsida; Cupressales; Cupressaceae.